This 146-nucleotide small RNA is filed under the name Lentisphaerota bacterium. Its description in RNAcentral is "Lentisphaerae bacterium c-di-AMP sequence". It matches the Rfam family "c-di-AMP riboswitch aptamer (ydaO/yuaA leader)". From Rfam's summary of the family: This family represents a conserved RNA structure found upstream of the ydaO and yuaA genes in Bacillus subtilis and related genes in other bacteria. The ydaO/yuaA element is thought to act as a genetic "off" switch for the ydaO and yuaA genes in its native state. Lineage: Bacteria; Pseudomonadati; Lentisphaerota. The record is from RNAcentral.
GUUAAUCCGAUGCCGAGUUCUUUCGCGCUCGCGAAGGGAACGGGGGACCCAAGUUACAAGGGGGCGUAUCCUGCCAUGAAGGCAGGAGGAACACCUGGAAGUUCCAGCCCGUCAGCUAACCUCGUAGGCGGUUUCAGGGCGACCAA